UCUCCCUUGAUCCAGCCGCCCCCGCCCCUUCCUCCUCGACCCCGGCCCUCCCUGCGUGGACGCCGCCCCGGCCGGCCCACGGCCUAGCCUGGCCGGCCCCCUGCUGGUCCGACCGGCCGGCCCCUCCGGCGACCGCCCCCUGCCGCUCCGGUGGUCGUCCCCUGCCCCGACCGGCCGCCCCCUGCUCCGGUGGUCGUCCCCUGCUCCGGUGGUCGCCCCCUCAUCCGUAGAGGAUUUCUGGUGUUGCCUCCGGUGGAGUGAUCAUUGACGUUGGAGCUCUUGGUCUUUGAUUGUCCCUUCGCUGAUCGACUACAUCAUCUACAUCCGAGGGUUUAAUAAUCAUGGGCAAGUCCAGCGGCGCUAGUUUCCUCAGUAAAUUUAAAGGACUUACUCGGAGUGGAC
Molecule: long non-coding RNA, 402 nt
Organism: Triticum urartu
Lineage: Eukaryota; Viridiplantae; Streptophyta; Magnoliopsida; Poales; Poaceae
Source: RefSeq, a predicted model, not a curated record